Molecule: ribosomal RNA, 826 nt
Filed under: Microbacterium sp. PCA2-17_Pa
Lineage: Bacteria; Bacillati; Actinomycetota; Actinomycetes; Micrococcales; Microbacteriaceae
Description: bacterial SSU rRNA
Rfam family: Bacterial small subunit ribosomal RNA
Source: RNAcentral
GCAAGUCGAACGGUGAACACGGAGCUUGCUCUGUGGGAUCAGUGGCGAACGGGUGAGUAACACGUGAGCAACCUGCCCCUGACUCUGGGAUAAGCGCUGGAAACGGCGUCUAAUACUGGAUACGAACCAUGAAGGCAUCUUCAGUGGUUGGAAAGAUUUAUUGGUUGGGGAUGGGCUCGCGGCCUAUCAGCUUGUUGGUGAGGUAAUGGCUCACCAAGGCGUCGACGGGUAGCCGGCCUGAGAGGGUGACCGGCCACACUGGGACUGAGACACGGCCCAGACUCCUACGGGAGGCAGCAGUGGGGAAUAUUGCACAAUGGGCGCAAGCCUGAUGCAGCAACGCCGCGUGAGGGAUGACGGCCUUCGGGUUGUAAACCUCUUUUAGCAGGGAAGAAGCGAAAGUGACGGUACCUGCAGAAAAAGCGCCGGCUAACUACGUGCCAGCAGCCGCGGUAAUACGUAGGGCGCAAGCGUUAUCCGGAAUUAUUGGGCGUAAAGAGCUCGUAGGCGGUUUGUCGCGUCUGCUGUGAAAUCCGGAGGCUCAACCUCCGGCCUGCAGUGGGUACGGGCAGACUAGAGUGCGGUAGGGGAGAUUGGAAUUCCUGGUGUAGCGGUGGAAUGCGCAGAUAUCAGGAGGAACACCGAUGGCGAAGGCAGAUCUCUGGGCCGUAACUGACGCUGAGGAGCGAAAGGGUGGGGAGCAAACAGGCUUAGAUACCCUGGUAGUCCACCCCGUAAACGUUGGGAACUAGUUGUGGGGUCCAUUCCACGGAUUCCGUGACGCAGCUAACGCAUUAAGUUCCCCGCCUGGGGAGUACGGCCGCAA